UCGGGCUGGGUGGGCGGGAGCGCGGCGGGCCUUGCGUGCGUGGCGGGCCCGGGCGGCCACCGGCCCCCUGCACCAGGCGGAGGCUGUGCCACGCGCUUUUCUCCAUCAACCUCCUGCACCCCGCAGCCUCUGGGGAGCGCUCCUCCGGCCCCGGCUUCGCAGCUCAGGGCGCCACUGCUGGGGGCUCCCGGAAGAUUAGGGCACUUUGAAGACAGAAGGUAAGUACAGAUAGGUGCUCUGGGGUGCCCUCUCGGGGCCCAGGGCCC
Long non-coding RNA from Suricata suricatta (meerkat), 266 nucleotides. Lineage: Eukaryota; Metazoa; Chordata; Mammalia; Carnivora; Herpestidae. The record is from Ensembl.